Maylandia zebra (zebra mbuna) is the source of this 659-nucleotide long non-coding RNA. RefSeq lists it as uncharacterized. NCBI's taxonomy places the organism in Eukaryota, Metazoa, Chordata, Actinopteri, Cichliformes, Cichlidae. The record is from RefSeq and is a predicted model, not a curated record.
CUCUAUCCUCCUCUUCCUCCUCUUCACACACUGGAUUACAACUGUCCAAGUUUGAAGAGUAACACCGAGCAGAGCCAUUUUUCAGUGUCAAGAGGGCCAUAAGUCGCAGCCUCCGCACGAGAGUGUCGGUCCAAGGCAAACAUUCCUUCCAUGUGGCCCGGUGUAAAUACUCAGCGAACUCCUCGUGUUGCCAGGGCGGAAAAUGAAACGGCCUCUCCAGCUGGAAGAACAAGUGUUGUGUGGGCUCCCUGAAGUGGUGCAGCACUGGGUCAUUGGAGAGCCACAGCGUGUUUGGGAACACAACAGUCUGUGUUUUUUUCAGCACAGCUUGUUGGAUGAAGGGCCAUUUCACAGGCAUUAUGGAUUAAUCUUUGGCAGGAUCCCUCCAGGAUCAAGCAAAACUGGGCGUUUAACCUCACGUGUCACGAUAGAGAGUUCUCUGGUGAUAAACCAGGACAGAGAGGAUUGAAGGUGACCCGCAUUUCUCUGUAGAUUCAUUACUUGAGUCCUUCUUAAAAAUAAAAUACGGGUACACAUCCUUCUUCAGGUACCAGAAAGUGACCGUUUGAACUGCGCUGCUGUGUCUGUCACUCCACCUUGCUGUCACCUGCACACAAUCACAGAUUCACAGCUGACACGUCCCAACGCUGCUUAUAAAC